Molecule: ribosomal RNA, 409 nt
Filed under: uncultured microorganism
Description: bacterial SSU rRNA
Rfam family: Bacterial small subunit ribosomal RNA
Source: RNAcentral
CAGCAGCCGCGGUAAUACGUAGGGGGCGAGCGUUGUCCGGAAUUAUUGGGCGUAAAGCGCGCGCAGGCGGUCCUUUAAGUCUGAUGUGAAAGCCCACGGCUCAACCGUGGAGGGUCAUUGGAAACUGGGGGACUUGAGUGCAGGAGAGGAGAGCGGAAUUCCACGUGUAGCGGUGAAAUGCGUAGAGAUGUGGAGGAACACCAGUGGCGAAGGCGGCUCUCUGGCCUGUAACUGACGCUGAGGCGCGAAAGCGUGGGGAGCAAACAGGAUUAGAUACCCUGGUAGUCCACGCCGUAAACGAUGAGUGCUAAGUGUUAGAGGGGUCACACCCUUUAGUGCUGCAGCUAACGCGAUAAGCACUCCGCCUGGGGAGUACGGCCGCAAGGCUGAAACUUAAAGGAAUUGGGGG